This 9577-nucleotide long non-coding RNA is filed under the name Olea europaea (common olive). RNAcentral describes it as "long non-coding RNA (OEUR_LNC015474)". Lineage: Eukaryota; Viridiplantae; Streptophyta; Magnoliopsida; Lamiales; Oleaceae. The record is from RNAcentral.
GAACUGCUUAUGUUGCAUUAACCACGGGAUUCAGCACACUUUUUCCAUACUUUAACCAAGUAGUCGGGGUGGAUGAAGCAAUCACCUUCUGGCCUAUAGUUGUACAUUUCCCUGUGGAAAUGUACUUGGUGCAGAAAAAUAUUGGACCUCUGACAAAGAAGUCGAUAAUUCUUCGAGUAUAUAGUUUUAUUACAUUGAUCGUGAUACUAUACGCCUUUGUUGGCUCAAUCAAGGGUUUGAUAAAAGCAAAAUUGAGUUGAGAAUUACUUAUUUUUACAUUCUGAUAUGGGUUAAAACCAAAUUGCUCAUGUCAAAGUGAGUUUUUGAGGCCUAUACAGGGAAACUGAAACAUGAAGCAUGGUAGAAUAAGCUGUUGGAAAAUUACACCGAUAUUAUGCAUAUUAUAUUUACAAAAUCAUGACGUUUAUUUGCGUGAAAUCAAAACGCAUUCCAACUUAUUGAAAUUGGAUUUGAUAAGGCAAAAUGAGAAUUUACCGAUUUUGAAGAAUAUGAAUGUGGAACAUUCUCUUUCGAUUCUUGAACGAUUGAACCGAUUUCGAAGAAUAUGAAUCUUUCGAUUCUUGAACGAUUGAACCUUGCAAUAUAAAUAUAUAAAUUAAAUUAAUCAUUUUCUGAAAUCAAAUCAUAAUAAAAAGAAAUCAGAAAAUGAGGAUGAAGAUGCAAGUGAUGAAUUUUUGGCUGAGGUAAGUGUUGGACACUUUGUUCUUAAGAUGAAUUUGUCUCGCAUCGGUGCUAACGAUUUUCCGACAAUUAUCUCCCAAAAUACAACGACCACGUCGAGCCAUAGGAGCAAUCCAAAUGACUUCGACCAGCGAACUCGAACGGAAUUCCUUCUUUACCAUGACCAUGACCAUGACCAUGACCAUGACCAUGACUUUGAUGCAAAUGUUUUAUACAAAACCAAAGUGCAAAUUGGAAUGGAAUGAUAUGAUAUUUAUGACUUUUCUUGAAUGAAUAAAAUUCAAAUACGUGGGGUCUAUAUAUAUAGCAGUUGGAAAUGUAUAUCAAAAGACACAACUAUACCAAGAGACACAUCUCUUGAAAUUCAUAAUUAUUGGACAUUAAUUAUACCCAUACCAAGAGUCAUGAUUUUUCAUACGAAAAGUCACAUUUUUUCCUCCAUAUAUUUUUAGAAUAUUCCACAAUAUUCUAUACGAUUUUUUCAAUAAUUUUCAGUAUUUAAGUAGUUUACAUUUGGCUUAAUUUCUCAUUCACCAAAUAACGAAUUUCACUUAAAUAAUUACUUCAAAUUGGUCACAACCAAUUUUCGAUAAAAAAAAAUUCAAACGUAAGCCUUCAUCGGGAAACAUUUGUUCACGUAAUGUGAUUGGAAUCUGAUCAGGCCCGCCAAUUAUUUCAUAAAGGGGGCCUCAAAAUAGGGGUAUGGGAAAAAUUUAUAGGUCAGACAUUAAGUAUGAGAUAAUUCAAUUCUCAAAUUUAAAGUUUUAAAAUUCAAAACUCAGGUAUUAAGUAACUAAUUAAAAAUAUUUUAUAAUUAAAUAUAUUAAGAUAACAAUUAUACAAUUACUAAUCAUAAGUACAUAUUUAUAGAUCACAAUUUAUUUAUUGAUUACAUAUUAUCAAAUUAAAUGGUCAUGGAUUAUUUUAUAGUCGCAAUAGAAUUUUUUGAUAAGUUACAAUUUAUUUAAUUGGUCAUAAAUAAAAAAAUUUAUAGGCCAAAAUUUAUCCGUUGGUCCCAAAUUUUUAAAUUAGUUUGUCACUUUAUUUUUCAGUCACAAAUUAUCGAAUUUUUAGGUCAUAAGUAAAUAGUGGUCACAAAUUACUAAAUAGUUGAUUACAUACUAAAAAUUUGGUCACAUACCAUCACCACCAACACUAUAACAGUCGCCACCCCCAUGGCCACUUGCGAUCACUACCACCAAUGCAGCCCUACUUGAGACCACUACACCCGUCGUCGCUGCCACCUGACAAUUACAAAAUCACCUACACAUCACAACAAUCGCAAAAAACACCACCACAGCAACCAUCGACCACACAGACCAUUAUAACCAUUUGAGAAAUCAAACUCAGAAAUUAAACAAGAAAAAAAAAGAAGAAGAAGAAGAAGAAGAAAAUAAAAGAUCUGCGCCACCAUGGAUCAACCACUGUUAGAUUAGAAGCAAUGAUAAUGGGCGCUCUGUCGUCACAGCACUCCAGAUCCUAGUAGAAAGGAUAGAUAGAUGGAUAGAAAGGAUAGAGAAGAGAGGAGAAUGAUGUUAUUGGAAUCAUUGAUUCUAGUGAUCUCAAGCGCUUGGGGACAUAACCUUUGUUUUACCAUUUUCUGUUAUUUUCCUAGAGAUACGGGUUUGAAAUUUUACUCCUAUAACAAGAACAAUCAAUGCAUGUGUAGUACGCACUAUUUGAACUAUAUAAUAUGUGCAAGAUACUCUGAGGUCUAAUCCACCGGGAAAAAAGUGAUCAAUUAUGGCAAUAUGUAUCACAACUUCCUUUUGUGGAAGGCUUAAGUGUGCAACUUUUGGGAAUUCAACCCCCAGGAACCUUUUGACGGGAUUUGGUUUUUACGAGCCGUACUGGGUCCUUGACUUUGCUGAUGCCUGUGCCAUUCUUUGUCUUGUCGGAGGAUAUCUGACAGUCGUCUUUUCUCUUAGAACCCAAGUGUGUUUUGAUCAGCUCAAAAGGUUUACUUAUACGAAAAUAAAUAAGUUUUUUAUUGGUAGAAGUUGGAAAUGACUAAAUUACUUAUUUUGAGAAUAAGGUAAAGUUACUAUCAAAAUAAGUUUCUUAAUAAAUUUUGUACGUGGAGUGAUGCUUUAGCCUUUCUUUGGAAUAUGCAUGGUUAGGCAUUCAGUCAACCACUUUUUGCAAUUAUUGAAAGAUGGACUAUCAAGUAGAGAACUGGAUGAGAGGAUAUAGUAAUAUUUAAAUAUGUUUUAAUAUUUUUAAAUCAGUGUUAUGUAAUAUCGAUGUCAUUAUUAAUUAGUUAUGUUAUUUGUGAUUUCUCUUGUCCAAUGCUCGAUGUGUCACACAAGAAUUACUUAUCCUCGUGAAAAGUAGUGUUAUAAAAGAUUUAUCUCAAGUGGAAGUUUGGUUGAUUGAGUGAACGUGAGGUGAGAUCCGGUUCACGAAAAUUAGACGAUUUCAUAAAAGUUUGAAAAGAAGAUUACCAAAAAAUAAAAAUAUAAUAAUAAUAAAAAAUAAUAAUAGAAAAAAAUAAGUGAACACCCAAAUUGCCACAGCUGCAUAUCAUGUCAUAUUUGGAUAAAUUUGAUAUUAAAAAAUAGAACUUUAUAGGAACCCUUAGCCUAUGUUUGGUUUUUCUAAAAUUUAGCUAAUUAUCAGAUAUUUUGAAACACACAUUUAUAAUGAAAUAUUUGAGUCAUAACAAACUUGGUCGUGGUAGGACUUUGACAAUCAAUAGUAUGUCUAACUUUCAUUUAUGAAAUGUUGCCCCCCGGGGUACAUCUCAAUUGGCAAAAGACGGAAUUCUUCAAGGCAGGCAGUUCAGAGGUCGCAGGUUCGAUUUAUGGGACUUUUGGAAGGCAAAGCUUUCUUUUGGAAGGUAGGAUAUUUUUUGGAAGGCAGGAGUUCUUUGGAAGGCAAGACGCAUACACGGAUUUGACUCGAUGUGCACUUUAGCAGUUUAGUUGGAGGGGCUCUUGGACCCUGACUAGUUUGGGGCAGAAUUCACGAUUUAUAAAAGAAAGAGGAGAAUUGACUUUUAUAGAAUAGUUUUUUUAGAGAAAAAUAAAUGGCUACUUCAUUCCUUGUCAUAAAUUGUUUUAAAAAAACAUAUACAAAGGGCUCCACAUAUUUAUAUGAUUUUUCUCCAAAAAAUGGCAAUUAAACAGGAGCUAAAUAAAUAUCAAACGUGCACGUUUUUAUAUCCUCCAUUGGGUCCCACAUAUAUAAUUUUAAUAUAAUUGCCUUUUGUCAGCUUGUCUUGUGGAAGAAAAACAACAUUCAUGGCUUCUAAAUAAAGUUCAAAUACAAUUGUCUUUCCAUACAUAGACAUUUCAAAACCUGGAUUGAUGUCGGAAAUAAACGGAGAUGAUACGCAGACUCCGUUAUUGUACACGAGCUUUUCUUCCGAUGAACGGACGAUCAAUCAUUCCCUUAAAAAAGGUAUUUCCCUUUCGUCAAUAAAUUCCUUUAUUCUCUCAACUUCUUUGUAGAAGGGAGCUCUCAAGAUUGUUGUUUAUUCUGAUUAUGUUUCCAUUUUAUUCCUGUUUCUUUAAUUUCUGAGUACUGAGAGCAUGUUGGUUGAGCUUAUUUCACUUUAUAUAUAUAUAUUUUUUUAAAGAGAGGACCUUUUAACUGACCACACUUUUAAGCACUGCGAAGCAUAAAUAUAAAGUAAUGUUAAAAUUUCCAGCUUUGUUUAGUAAUAUUUUUUCUUUAUUUGCUUGCAUUUGACAUUUGAUGUACAAUAUAGUUGGAAAUUAAGGUUGUAAUGGGUGUCUCAUGUUCGCAUUCAACCCACAAGUGUACUAUAUUGUUAUACAAGUAAUAAGAUUUAUCAGUUAAGAUUAUCGUUCCCAUGAAAAAUAAGGUCUAAUUUGUAGUUUAAUAGUUACUAUUGAAUUCGAAAUGUGGUAACAUCAAAAGAAUUGUGAAUCGUUUGUUACUUAUUCUAAUUCUACUCUAAGAAAGCAACAAAAAGUGAUUAAAUCUAGUGUGAAUAUUUGUAUUGGAUUCAUGUAUCCCUCUAUUUUCAUUUAUUUUAAUUAUCAAUAAUCAUUCUAUUCAAUUCAUGCAUUUUUUAUAAUCGAUAAAACUAAUAUGUUAAAUGUUCUUUUCCAAGAUACAUCAACCUAUGAUCAACAUGAGACGAUCUUAUUCCUAGUUCGAAUUCAUAUGAAGAUUUUCAUUUAGUUUAGAUUAUCAAUAAAAUUGCACGUGUGAGAGAGAUUAUUCUUAAUUCUAAUUAUAAUGUUGAUUUUAUCUUGUUCUAGACUCAUUGUGAGUAUUCCUACAUUACAGUAAGCAAUUAACUGCAUAAUUGGUGAUCAAGCAAUAAAUAAUGCAAUAAGUAUGGAAAAUCAAUCAAACUAUAAUACGAAAUUCCUAAAUUAAAGUCUUGAAUUGAAAUAAAUGAAAAUAUGGUCCAAACAUUGAUAUAAUAAUAUAAUUGGAAAAUCUAGCUAGCCAUCCAUAUUAUUAAACUAUACAAGAAAUAGUGAAAAGACAUCACCUAGAUCAAGAAAUAAUGAAUGAAAUCCAAUUUCUUGGCUUGAAUCUUGACUUUGGAUUAAGGAUCUUCAAUAAAUUUAUAUAAUUUGCCUUUGGUUGAUGAUUGGACCUUGUUUUUCACCUCCAAAAUUGAUGAAAUGUGUAAAGUUUUAGAUCUUCGAAGCUCUCCUCCACAUUUUUGAUGUGUUAUGGUAUUUAUAGGAUGUCAAAAUGUUAUUUCCGAGUAAAAUUUUAUAAAGAAAUUUUUUUUGUCCAGAAAUGCACUACGAGACCACAUAGUGCAAACGUUGCGCCGCAUGGAACAACCAAUAACCGGACCUAAAUUCCUUGAAUGGCUAGUUGCGACCGCAUGGAAAUAACUCUAUACGGCUGCAUAAGAGUUAAAAACCUCCAAUUUGUUCACUUUGGUCUCCAAAUUCUUUCCAAUGCCAUUUUUAGUCAUUUUCUCUUGUAUUCUAUUUCCUUUGCUUCCAAUUGAAUCUAAUUGGUUUCGUGGCAUCUUCUGUCUUCAUUUUGAGACUCGACUCAACUAUGAAAUUAUUGCACUUUAAUCCUUAAACUCUGAAGUUAGCCAUUUUUCACUAUCUUUGUUUUGUUUUCUCCAAUUCUUCAAUAAAAAAUGAGAUUUUCCUAUUAAACACGAAAUAACACAAAUUAGGUAAUAUUUUGCCCAAAUAACAAUAAAAUGCUAUAAUCUAAGGCCCCAAAUAAGUUUAGAAAUUACAGUUAUCAUCUGAUUUUGGAAACAAUUGCAUUUUUAUUUUUAUUUUUUUCACUGUCACUUCCCUUCCCUUUGUUUAACCUUUUAGAUGGAAACACUUCUAUUAAAUAUAGUUUCAAAGGUGCUAUUUAUAUGCAAAUUGGAUUUAUUUUUUCAUCAAAGGCGUGAAAAUGUGCAAGUUAAAUGUUUCUUUCUUGAUUCUUCAACCAUUUUAUCGAUCAGGACCCAGAUUUUAAUGCCGAAGCGAUGUCACCUUUGAGAAAACUAAUCUGUCAUAGUUUGUGAAAAGAAAGAUUAUUUUCAGUCCAGUCAAUUUAGGGAAAAAAAAAAAAAAAAAAAUUCGAAAUCUAAUCAAAUGUCUCUUUAUUGCCUUUUCCAUAAAAUAUAAUUCAUAAAAAGUGUGUUGUAUUUAAGAAUACCUGACUUUUCAACAUAUCCAAAGCCUACCUUAUUUCUGAUGUCACAUUAAAGGCGGGAUGACACCAAUUUUUCCUUUUAACUUAAGGAAACACUGUUCGGGAGCCAGAUGGCUUUGGCCAACUUUCCAUGUUUGGAGUUUUAUCGUUCAAAUAAAUUUUGUCCAAAAAGAUAUUGGGAACAGAGCUUUGUUUUGUUGAAUAUGGUGCAGAAAAGGGAUUCGUUUGAUUUUAGACAUAUUGGGAACGAGGCUUAGUUUGUAGUUUGUAUUAUUUAACGCGUGUGUUCCAACAUCUGAAAUAUCAGGGAAUGUGUGGACGGCUUUGGCACAUAUAAUAACAGCAGUAAUAGGUUCUGGAGUACUUUCAUUAGCAUGGAGCAUGUCACAGCUCGGGUGGAUUGCAGGUCCAUUGACCAUGUUGGCAUUUUCAUCAGUCGCCCUUACUUCUGUAUUUUGUAUCUGGAAUUGCUACAAAUCUCCUGAUCCUGACUACGGUCCUGUGAGAAAUGGCUCUUACUUAGAUGCUGUUCGGGCAAUUCUAGGUGAGAUAACAUUUACUUAAAUGCUGAGCACUAAUAAUUUUUUCUGAAUGAGUUAUAAACUAGUGGCUUAGGAAUUCACAUGGAAAUAUACUCUUGCUUGAAUGCUGUAAGAGAUAACGAACUCAACAGAGGUGACCCAGGGUUCCAUGAAGUUGAGACAAGAUUGUGUUUCGUCCAUCUUGUUUCUUAUUUAACAGUCUAUUGCCACUAAAGUCUAAAAGACAGAAUCUGUUGGAAAGAAAUUUUCAUUUUAGGCUCUUUAAUCAUUGUUGUAGCUCACCAUAUGUAUUCCAUGCCCCCUUAUCCAUAUCUAGCUAUUGACUAUGAGAAAAGUUAUACAAAGUUAUAUACAAAUCACUACCCUCCCUUGGUAUUUCUUUAAUUGAAUUUCGUUUGAUUAGGUCGAAGUUCCUUAAAAACUUCUGCCUAAUUUGUAGGGUAUGGAGUCAUAGUCUCUAUAGAAUUAUGAUAGAAAGGUAUCCAUUAACCCUAGUCCGAGGUGCCAAACCUUCCCGUCGAUGUGAGCUCGUGGGGAAGAUCAGCCUGUGGCCUUGGUGAGUAAAUAUUAUGGUAUAUCUGACCCCCCCUUUUGUCUCAGGAAAAAGGAAUGCUUGGGUGUGUGGCAUUAUCGUACAACUAAAUUUCAUCAAGAUAGGUAUUGUCUAUACAAUUACAUCCUCCAUCAGCAUGAGGUAUGUUGAUGAGCUCCUUCCAUCCUCUUCCGCAACCCCCACCCCCGAAAAAUUAAUAACUAAAUAAAAUUCAAGAACGAGAUUUUAAGCCUACAUAUGUUUCACUUUACUGUUAACUAACAUCUUAUGAUCAAACAGCUAGGUCCAUCAAGCAAUCUAUGCAUGACAAAAUGAUCAAAAAUGACUAUGAGACGACUUGAGUAAUUUACAAAUAUUUCAUUUUAGGUAGUGCAUAGUACUGAUACAGAGUUUCUAUUCUUUAUAUAAACAAAAUGAGUAGAAUCUUUUGUAUUGAAGAGUAAGAUAGUGUGAUGAUGAUAGGCGAAAAUUUAUAUUUCUAGAAGUGAAUUUCUUUGUCUGUCCAAUGACAUGGAAAAUGGGCUGGGACUCUCCUCCAUUCCCCCUCCGACGCCCAAGCAAGUAUCAUCCUCAUGAGAGAGGGGGAGUGUUUCUCAUUGUCCAUAAAGAAUAUGAAAAACACCCAUUUUUCGUACCUGUGACCUUUUAUUUUGCUUAAAAUGUCAUGUCUGUCUUAAUGUGUUUUGCACCAGUGUUGUCAUUAAUUGUGCUUUUGGACAUGCUAACAUAUAUUGCUCUUCGAUGUUAUUCUUUCAAUUGAUGAAGGGCAAUACAGAGAUCAAAUUGUUACCAUAGUGAAGGGCAUAAAGCUUCUUGCAACUACGGGAUUACUUAUUACAUGCUUGCAUUUGGAAUUAUCCAAGCCAUCGUGUCUCAAAUACCUGAUUUUCAGAAUACCGAGUGGCUCUCUGUCAUUGCAGCAAUCAUGUCCUUCUCAUACUCUAUUAUCGGAUCGGCACUUGGCUUGGGAAAAGUUAUAGGUGAGUCCGGAAUAUGAAAAAACACAACUAGAAUUUUUUAUGAAGUGCAAAAUUCUUCAAGUUUUUCUGAUCGCUUAACCUUAUUUUAUAGAAAAUGGAGAAAUAAAAGGUAGCAUUGGAGGAAUACCGACUUCCACUACUGCUGAAAAAGUAUGGGCGAUUUCUCAAGCGCUUGGCGACAUUGCCUUUGCGUUUCCAUUCUCUCUUAUUUUCCUAGAGAUACAGGUCUGGAAAUUUACUUCUGUACCUAGAAUAUCAAUAGAAAUUCUCAAAUAGCAUUAAGCAAUAGUAAUAAAUGGUUUAAUUUCAUAAUACGUCAAGGAUACUCUAAGGCCCGAUCCACUUGAAAGGGUCAUCAUGAAGAAGGCAUCAAUUAUGGCUGUCUGCGUCACAACCUUUUUCUACCUAUGUUGUGGAGGGCUUGGGUAUGCAGCUUUUGGAAAUUCAACCCUCGGGAACCUUUUAACCGGAUUUGGUUUUUACGAGCCAUACUGGCUUGUUGACUUUGCUAAUGCUUGCGUCGUUCUUCAUCUUGUUGGAGGAUAUCAGGUAUUUUGAUUUUUCGAUGAUCUUGUAUGCAAUUAUCACUCAACAAUGUUACCACAUUUUAUCCUUCUUGUUAAAACUAUGAGCAUGUUUGGCUAGGACUAAAGAAAAAAAAAAAGUAGUUUUUGCACAAGUUUUUGUCCCAGAAAGAGGUAACUUGAAAGUUACUUUUAAGCUUGGCCAGACAUGCAUAAUUAGUCUUGAGUAAUACUUUAACCUUUCUUCCAAAUAUGUAUCAAUAGGUAUACACUCAACCACUCUUUGAGAAUACUGAAAGAUGGAUUAUAAAGAAGUUUCCCGACCGAAAAAUAUUGCAUGAAGAUUACACUCCAAAACAAAUACCGCGUCUAAGACUAAAUCUUUUGAGGCUGUGUUUCCGAACUGCUUAUGUUGCAUUAACCACGGGAUUUAGCACACUUUUUCCGUACUUUAACCAAGUAGUCGGGGUAGCUGGAGCAAUCACCUUCUGGCCUAUUGUUGUAUAUUUCCCUGUGGAAAUGUACUUGGUGCAGAAAAAUAUUGGACCUCUGACAAAGAAGUCGAUAAUUCUUCGAGUAUAUAGUUUUAUUACAUUGAUCGUGAUACUAUAUGCCUUUGUUGGCUCAGUCAAGGGUUUGAUAACAGCAAGAUUGAGCUGAGAAUUACUU